This is a long non-coding RNA of Calidris pygmaea (Spoon-billed sandpiper), 2057 nucleotides long. The record is from Ensembl. NCBI's taxonomy places the organism in Eukaryota, Metazoa, Chordata, Aves, Charadriiformes, Scolopacidae.
GGCACACGCCUCGCACACGUGUCACCUUUGCACACGCACCGUGCCUCACACAUGCAUCUCUGAGGCCUUGCACACGCAGCUCAGCCACCUCACACGCGUGUUCCACGCCUUGCACGCGCUGCUGAUGCACCUCGGAGGCCUCACACACCUUGCACACCUUUUUGCACUGACAGACCACAGCACACGCUCACACACGCCUUGCACGACUACUGUGCACUCACAGACCGCAGCACAUGCCUUGUACAUGUAUCUCUGAGGCCUUGCACACGCAGCUCAGCCACCUCACACCUGUGCCACGCCUUGCACAUGCCUCGCACAUGCCUCGCACACGCUCCUCAUGCACCUCGGAAGCCUUGCACAUGGCUUGCACACCUGUUUUGCAGUCAUGGGCCACAGUACAUGCCUUGCACACAUCUUGCACAUGCCUUUGCGCACACACAGAUCACAGCUCACACUCACACAUGCCUUGCACGACUGCUGUGCACUCACAGACCACAGCACACGCCUUGUACAUGCAUCUCUGAGGUGUUGCACACACAGCUCAGCCACCUCACACUUGUAUCACGCCUUGCACGUCUCACACAUGCACCUCGGAGGCCUCGCACAUAUGUUGCACGCCUUUUUGCACUCACAGACCACAGCAUCUGCUCACACGUCUUGCACCCCUGUUGAGCACUCACCACAGCACACGCCAUGUACAUGCCUUGCUUGCCUCUUCCACACACCUUGCACAUGCCUUUGUGUACACACAGACCACAGCACAUGCCUUGCACACACCUCACAUGUGUCUUGCACACCUGUUUUGCAGUCGCAGACCACAGCACAUGCCUUGCACACACCUCGCACAUGUCUUGCAUGCCUGUUGUGCACCGAGACCACAGCACAUGCCUUGCACACUCAUCUCUGAGGCCUUGCACAUGCAAGCUCAGCCACCUUGCACACAUCACACGCAUUGCAGUCGUGCACUCACAGAGCACAAGGCAUGCCUUGCACACACAUCAUGUGCUUCUUUUUAAGGCCCAUGGUCCACAAUUUGCAUAUGCAUUCCACCCGCCUUGCACACCUGUGGUGCUCUCCCGGCACAUGCAUUGCCUGGCCACCACACACACCUUGCACACCUGUUGGGCUCUCACAGAUCAUUGCACACUCCUCACGCCUUGCAUAUGCCUUGCACGACUUUUGUGGACUCAUAGACCACUGCACAUGCCUUGCACACACCUUUGUGCACACACAGAUCACAGCACACCCCUUGCACACAUCUUGCACGACUGUUGUGCACACACAGAUCACAGCACACUCCUUGCACAUGCCUUAUACGUGCCUUGCAUGGCUGUUGUGCACACACAGACCACCACACAUGGCUUUCACACACAGAUCACAGCACAUGCCUUGCACUUAUGUCACACAUGCACGCCUGUUGUGCACUCACAUACCACAGCACGCCCUUCAGACACGCCUUGCAUAUGCCUUGCACAAUUGUUGUGCACUCACAGACCACAGCACACUCCUUGCACAUACCUUGUACGACUGUUGUGCACUCACAAGCCACAGCACAUGCCUCGCACACGUCUUGUACAAGCGUUUCUGAGGCCUUGCACAUGCAGCUCAGCCACCUCACGUUUCACCCCUUGCACAUCCUCACACACUUCUCAUGCACCUCAGAGGUCUUGCACACUCCUUGCAUGUGUGUCAUGUGCUGUGCACGUGUCACACAAAGCAGUUUUGCACAGACAUGUUGCACACCUGUGGGUCAUGCAUGGUACACGUGCAUUCACAGAGCACAGCACAUGCCUUGCACGUGCAUCACACUUGCAUUGUGCAUCUCUUUUGCAUGCCCAUUGUCCGCGACUCGUACACGUGUCCCACCCGCCUUACACGACUGUUGUGCACUCACAGAAAACAGCACAAGCCUCACACAUGCCUACACAUGCCUUGCACAACUGUUGUGCAAUCACAGACCACAGCACACCCUCCAUACGUGCCUCACCCACGCCUUGCACACACCUUGCACAACUGUUGUGCAAUCACAGACCACAGCACACCCUCCAUACGUGCCU